Molecule: ribosomal RNA, 459 nt
Filed under: uncultured bacterium
Lineage: Bacteria
Description: partial 16S ribosomal RNA
Rfam family: Bacterial small subunit ribosomal RNA
Source: RNAcentral
CCUCCUUUCUUCCUCCUUUCUUCCUAUUUUUCCAUUUUCUUAAUCCUUAACCAGCCAAGUAGCGUGCGGGAUGAAGGCCCUACGGGUCGUAAACCGCUUUUGCACGGGGAUAACACCCUCCACUUGUGGAGGUCUGCAGGUACCGUGCGAAUAAGGGCCGGCUAAUUCCGUGCCAGCAGCCGCGGUAAUACGGAAGGCCCGAGCGUUAUCCGGAUUCAUUGGGCUUAAAGGGAGCGUAGGCGGGCGUUCAAGUCAGCUGUAAAAUCGCGCGGCUCAACCGCGCCCCGCAGUUGAAACUGGACGCCUUGAGUUCACAACAGGCAGGCGGAAUUCGUGGUGUAGCGGUGAAAUGCAUAGAUAUCUCGAGGAACCCCGAUUGCGAAGGCAGCCUGCCGGGGUGCGACUGACGCUGAGGCUCGAAGGUGCGGGUAUCAAACAGGAUUAGAGACCCCUGUAGUC